Molecule: non-coding RNA, 28 nt
Filed under: Rattus norvegicus (Norway rat)
Lineage: Eukaryota; Metazoa; Chordata; Mammalia; Rodentia; Muridae
Source: RNAcentral
UAAACACAAAAAUAAGUGUGCAUGCAUG